GUCGGGAUAGCUCAGUUGGUAGAGCA
RNAcentral lists this non-coding RNA (26 nucleotides) under Mus musculus (house mouse). RNAcentral also lists the same sequence under 21 other names. The record is from RNAcentral. Lineage: Eukaryota; Metazoa; Chordata; Mammalia; Rodentia; Muridae.